This 445-nucleotide ribosomal RNA is filed under the name uncultured bacterium. Its description in RNAcentral is "partial 16S ribosomal RNA". It matches the Rfam family "Bacterial small subunit ribosomal RNA", at positions 354 to 796 of the family's 1533-position model. The record is from RNAcentral.
GUAGGGAAUAUUGGGCAAUGGAUGCAAGUCUGACCCAGCCAUCCCGCGUGCCGGAAGAAGGCCCUCAGGGUUGUAAACGGCUUUUGACGGUGAAGAAUCGACAGGAUGCGUCCUGUUUUGACUGUAGCCGUUGACUAAGCACCGGCUAACUCCGUGCCAGCAGCCGCGGUAAUACGGAGGGUGCGAGCGUUGUCCGGAUUUAUUGGGUUUAAAGGGUGCGUAGGCUGGAAGGUCAGUCAGCGGUGAAAAGCUGUCGCUUAACGAUAGUCUUGCCGCAGAUACUUCCUUUCUUGGAUGAGGAGGAGGCCACUGGAACGGAUGGUGUAGCGGUGAAAUGCAUAGAUAUCAUCCAGAACACCGAUUGCGAAGGCAGGUGGCUGUACCUUAAUCGACGCUGAUGCACGAAAGCAUGGGGAGCAAACAGGAUUAGAAACCCCAGUAGUCC